RNAcentral lists this unclassified non-coding RNA (421 nucleotides) under Mortierella rishikesha. Its description in RNAcentral is "partial contains 5.8S ribosomal RNA, internal transcribed spacer 2, and large subunit ribosomal RNA". The stretch from base 1 to 133 matches the Rfam family "5.8S ribosomal RNA", at positions 22 to 154 of the family's 154-position model. Lineage: Eukaryota; Fungi; Mortierellomycota; Mortierellomycetes; Mortierellales; Mortierellaceae. The record is from RNAcentral. RNAcentral also lists the same sequence under 1 other name.
UGGCUCUCGCAUCGAUGAAGAACGCAGCGAAAUGCGAUACGUAAUGUGAAUUGCAGAAUUCAGUGAAUCAUCGAAUCUUUGAACGCAUAUUGCGCUCUUUGGUAUUCCGAAGAGCAUGCUUGUUUGAGUAUCAGUAAACACCUCAAAGCUUUUGGAUUUUUUAAUCGAAAAGCUUUGGACUUGAGCAAUCCCAACACCAAUCUUUUUGAGAUCGGUGGCGGGUUGCUUGAAAUGCAGGUGCAGCUGGACAUUCUCCUGAGCUAAAAGCAUAUUCAUUUAGUCCCGUCAAACGGAUUAUUACUUUUGCUGCAGCUAACAUAAAGGGAGUUUGACCGUAUUGGCUGACUGAUGCAGGAUUUCACAAGGGUCGGCAACGAUUCUUGUUAAACUCGAUCUCAAAUCAAGUAAGACUACCCGCUGA